GUUCGGAUAUUACUUUACCAUUGUUCUCGGGUGAUAUUGCAGAUUUAAUAGAAUCGCGAAAGCUUUGGUAGAGCUCGAAGAUAUUCGUUAAAAUGGGUUGUCCAUUUGUUGUAUGAAAUGUGCAGCAAAUCAUUAUAUUCUGCUAAUAAGUAGUACGCUUUAAAAAAAAAUCGGGGCAAGAAGCUUGUUAUUGUUAAAAUAAAUCAGCAAGUUUAAUAGGAACGUUUUGUUGAAAGUCUAUACGUACGAUAUCCUUUUUAAUACACCGUGUUGAUAUCGUGUACCUACCGGCCAAUGCACGGGCCGGCCAAUUUUUUCAACCAUGUAAAGUCUGAUAAGCAAUGUAGUGCGGCGAUCGACUCGCUUUAAGCACCUACCAGCCAUCUUACUUGUGGUAAGGCGUAUCGAGAGCGCACACACUUGCGUGUCAUCCAUGCUACCAUCACAUACAUGCUUCUGUUGCAAAAAGUUUGUGUAUUACGGUUGAUCGAAUGUGGGGUGAUGGAAGGUAUAAAUAAGCUAUAUGCAAAAAAUUCGACUUCAUGUUUCAAGGUAUCAUCACCCAUCUGUCACACGAGAUCGAUCGGACGGGAUUUACGUUGUCAUGCCCAUUGGUUCCAGUAUCUAUUUAAUAUGAGCCGUGAAAUCGUUUGGUGAUUGUGGAGAGGCAUUCACAUCUUUGAGACAUUUAAAUUCCAUUGGCAAAAACGCAACCUUACCCUUCGAACCUGCGCAUUAUAGAAUUACAGCAGAAAUAGACAUUACGGUACUAAUAAACAAUUUUGGCUUGCAACAAGUUCUGUCACCAGUCCCUUGGAGUUCUAAGAGAAGUGGGUAUUAGGGGAACUCUUCGUCGCAUACGACGUAACCAGCGGUGCUUGGAAUGCCCAAUAGCACCGAAAGUGGAUUGUUCGGAUCCAAGAAGACAUCUUUGGGAACACGGCGGUUGUUUUCUGUCGUGUCAUCUGGUUUAGGUAUAUAAUUUACGGCAGCUACGAUAAGAAAGCUAUCGUACCAUUCCGCUCUCUCUACGAAUCGUUCUGACGCUGUCUUCAGAUACUUACGGACCGGAUAUAAAACAAAUCUUCGUGAAGGUCUACAUGUACUGUAAUAUCAAUAUGCGGCGCAAUAUUGGUUAAAAUCUUUCAACCGAUUUUUUAUUUAUUUAUAUUCGUUUCAAUAUCCUCUUAUCAUCGAACGAAUGUGACUAUAACGCAACGAUAAUGGGGAAAUACGAAAUAAUAGUGAUAAUAGACGUGAUAUUAUGUUCUCGUCUGGAACGUUUUACAAUGUUAUAAAUUCGGAAAAUAUAUCUAUGAGUUUUGGUUACAUUAAUAUAAAGGAAUAAAAUUUAAUACACAAUUAUUUCAAACAGUUAUCCAAAUUAACCUCAUGCUUACCAUCUAAGACUCAAUAGCCGUCACUAAAUUCAAGAGUUAUGAAAACGACAAGUUAGUAUUCUGUAAAAAAAAAGUUUACAAGUAGGUAAUAAAUAGCUUAAGUUUUCAAUCGCCUGUUUUGAUUAGGCGAUACUAAGCGCAUCUGUAAUAUUAAUUAGACACGCCGAUUGAAAAUACAAUUUAAAUUCGGGUCAUGUUCAGAGCACAACCAUUUAUCACGAGGGCCACACGUCAAAUAUCAUCUGCAAAAAGAUGCGACUAAAUGAACAAAUUUAGAUUCCAAUGCGCGUGAUCGAUUGACCUACACAUAUCGAAGUCUAUAGAUCAUCUCGGCAUUGAAAAUAAUAUUAUUGUGCGUGAGUAAGACAAAAUAUAAUUAAUGUUCUUCUUAAUUCGAAUUGGUCCGGCGUAGACAUGUUGGCGUCGUUCCGUCGCAAUAAACAAAAGAUUAAAAACUUUUUCAUAAUACACGUGUUUUUAUACGUUCACGUAAAAUGUUUGUAGAAACGUGCUAUUAAUCAUUCGAUGAAUGUAUUGUUGCAUCUGUCGUGUCGGCUUGUAUAGCUCUUGAGAGCCUUGCUAUUGUUGCUGAAAAUGCAUACGUUUUGAUAACUGCAAAAAACGGCCAUUGCGCCACCUGUGCUCAAAGAUAACGGACAGAUCCUAUUGAAUAAAAACGAAUAUAAAAUACAUUAGUGAAUUUAGAAUUAUUAGAUUUUUUGGAGAUAAAAAGUUUGAAUAAUGAAUAGUUCAUCCGAUGAAUAGUGAGUUAAUGAAAUGAAUACAUGGUUAGUUUUGUGUAGCUUUGUUUCAAAAUAAUCGCUUUCUGAACUUUAUGCGUACCUACUGCGUUAUAGAUCUUUACCUUUCCUACAUUUAACAAUUAAAACUGGAAUUUUGUCAAAGAAUGCCACGGAGGUUUAGACUUGCAAACUAAUCUACAGAUAUAAUCUACGGAGUUUCUCGCCGGAUCUUCCCGCUGGGUGGUAGAUUCAAGAAGCACUGCUCUUGCUGUUGAGAUGUUCGCAGUCUCUUAGGUUAAAUCCUGUGCGUAGCUAGAAUAGCCCCUUAGCCUGCCAGCGAUUAAGUAGGGGAAAAAACUGUAAAAGAAAUGUGCUAGUAGUAAGCACAUUUAACAUAUCUGAAAGAGAAAUAGAUAUACAAUCUUUGUUUAUAAACUGAUAGAUCUGUCUAUCAGUCUGUAGGCUCAAAACUCUACUGAUACUGUUGAUUCUUAAAACUAUUAAUUUCUUAUAUUCUUCACUCUUUGUGUAGGUAUCUCACGAAAAACUUAACAUAUUAUAAAUUUUGAUGAAGCUUCUUAUAUUAAAACAUUACUUUUACGAUUUAAAGGUAUGUAUACAAAUAUGUAAAUUCCAAGUAAUCGCUGUGGUCGCAGACGGUUUUGACAGAUGACGAGCUCGACGUGGAGUGAUCAGUCACGGUCAGUGCGGCUCACGCGUCAGGCGCCGAUUUCUGCUCUACACAGCUUCGUGGGAAAAUCAUAAAUAUCUAAAUAGCUUUCUUUUAAUAGUAUCGGAAUACACAUCAUUUCUCCAUUCCGGGCCACUAAACUCGAUAGCGGGUUAACACGUCAGAAAAAAAGAAACAAACGAAUGUGCGACCAGUUUUUUCGUCUGACAACACCGAACAUUUCGUUUUUUAUAUGCGUAUCAUUUUGAAAAUUAAAUUAUAGGUUAUAAUUUUAAUAUGAUAGGUGCGUAAUAUAUUUUGGAAUGUUAAGAUUCUUAUCUUUUAAAAGCAUUUAUUCAUUUAAUAGUUUGCCGUUAAUGCUUAUGCAAUUUGAUAAUAAAUAAUUUGUUUUUUUGUUUUAAAUUAAAACGCAUACAUAAGACCAAAGGCCACAAAAUGCAAUUGCUUUAAUGUUUGUAGUAAGAGUAUACAAAUGUAUGGGAUUAACAUAAGCUUACGUAAAAUAAGGCUUCUAGAUUGCGCACUGAUGAGGCUUUCUUUUUAAUUACUCUAUUACUCUCAUAGGCCAGUGAGCGGUAUCAUGAGUUAGUGACUGCUUCGGUAAUAAAUCCAAAAAGUAAUAUUUUUACGUAGGUUUGAAUGUUAAUUUGUUCUGACUCAAGUUCAUGAUCUCGCUGUUAUUGUUUUGAAGAUAUAGUUAUGAUAGCCCGAUUCUCUCGAGCUUAUGCUGAUCGCCCAUAAUUUAUACUAGUUUUGAUGUUAUUUUUCCAUUCAAUAUUGUGACAGGAAGAUAUAUUUUUAAAAGGUUUAAACUUAAAAUUAAGAAAACAGUAACAUAUUAUCUUUGGUUUGUCCAUGACAUGUCCAUGACAUAAUUAAAUUACUUUUAUGGAAUA
This is a long non-coding RNA of Bombyx mori (domestic silkworm), 3730 nucleotides long. RefSeq lists it as uncharacterized. The record is from RefSeq and is a predicted model, not a curated record. NCBI's taxonomy places the organism in Eukaryota, Metazoa, Arthropoda, Insecta, Lepidoptera, Bombycidae. The transcript is spliced from 3 exons.